Molecule: ribosomal RNA, 211 nt
Filed under: uncultured bacterium
Lineage: Bacteria
Description: partial 16S ribosomal RNA
Rfam family: Bacterial small subunit ribosomal RNA
Source: RNAcentral
CGUAAAGCGCGUGUAGGCGGCCAGGCAAGUCGGGUGUGAAAUCCCCGGGCUCAACCUGGGAACUGCCAUUGUGACUGCAAGGCUGGAGUACGGCAGAGGGGGAUGGAAUUCCGCGUGUAGCAGUGAAAUGCGUAGAUAUGCGGAGGAACACCGAUGGCGAAGGCAGUCCCCUGGGCCUGUACUGACGCUCAUGCACGAAAGCGUGGGGAGC